RNAcentral lists this ribosomal RNA (252 nucleotides) under uncultured bacterium. Its description in RNAcentral is "partial 16S ribosomal RNA". It matches the Rfam family "Bacterial small subunit ribosomal RNA", at positions 524 to 776 of the family's 1533-position model. The record is from RNAcentral.
UACGUAGGUCCCGAGCGUUGUCCGGAUUUAUUGGGCGUAAAGCGUGCGCAGGUGGUUUAUUAAGUCUGGUGUAAAAGGCAGUGGCUCAACCAUUGUAUGCAUUGGAAACUGGUAGACUUGAGUGCAGGAGAGGAGAGUGGAAUUCCAUGUGUAGCGGUGAAAUGCGUAGAUAUAUGGAGGAACACCGGUGGCGGAAGCGGCUCUCUGGCCUGUAAUUGACACUGAGGCUCGAAAGCGUGGGGAGCAAACAGG